AUACCCGAUGGCAUAGUUCUUCCGCAUGGUGGAACUAUUAAAGAAUUUCGGUCAUCGAUGGGGAUGCGUUCCAUUAGGUUGUUGGCGGGGUAACGGCCCACCAAGCCUUCGAUGGAUAGGGGUUCUGAGAGGAAGGUCCCCCACAUUGGAACUGAGACACGGUCCAAACUCCUACGGGAGGCAGCAGUGAGGAAUAUUGGUCAAUGGACGAGAGUCUGAACCAGCCAAGUAGCGUGAAGGAUGACUGCCCUAUGGGUUGUAAACUUCUUUUAUACGGGAAUAAAGUGAGGCACGUGUGCCUUUUUGUAUGUACCGUAUGAAUAAGGAUCGGCUAACUCCGUGCCAGCAGCCGCGGUAAUACGGAGGAUCCGAGCGUUAUCCGGAUUUAUUGGGUUUAAAGGGAGCGUAGGCGGACGCUUAAGUCAGUUGUGAAAGUUUGCGGCUCAACCGUAAAAUUGCAGUUGAUACUGGGUGUCUUGAGUACAGUAGAGGCAGGCGGAAUUCGUGGUGUAGCGGUGAAUGCUUAGAUAUCACGAAGAACUCCGAUUGCGAAGGCAGCUUGCUGGAC
Molecule: ribosomal RNA, 568 nt
Filed under: uncultured Bacteroidales bacterium
Lineage: Bacteria; Pseudomonadati; Bacteroidota; Bacteroidia; Bacteroidales
Description: bacterial SSU rRNA
Rfam family: Bacterial small subunit ribosomal RNA
Source: RNAcentral